Molecule: ribosomal RNA, 497 nt
Filed under: uncultured bacterium
Lineage: Bacteria
Description: partial 16S ribosomal RNA
Rfam family: Bacterial small subunit ribosomal RNA
Source: RNAcentral
GACGAACGCUGGCGGCGUGCCUAAUACAUGCAAGUUGAGCGAUGAAGAUUGGUGCUUGCACCAAUUUGAAGAGCAGCGAACGGGUGAGUAACGCGUGGGGAAUCUGCCUUUGAGCGGGGGACAACAUUUGGAAACGAAUGCUAAUACCGCAUAACAACUUUAAACAUAAGUUUUAAGUUUGAAAGAUGCAAUUGCAUCACUCAAAGAUGAUCCCGCGUUGUAUUAGCUAGUUGGUGAGGUAAAGGCUCACCAAGGCGAUGAUACAUAGCCGACCUGAGAGGGUGAACGGCCACAUUGGGACUGAGAAAAGGCCCAAACUCCUUCGGGAGGCAGCAGUAGGGAAUCUUCGGAAAUGGACGAAAGGCUGAACGAGCAACGCCGCGUGAGUGAAGGAGGGUUUCGGAUCGGAAAACUCUGUUGGGAGAGAAGAACGUUGGUGAGAGUGGAAAGCUCAUCAAGUGACGGUAACUACCCAGAAAGGGACGGCUAACUACGUG